Triticum aestivum (bread wheat) is the source of this 2391-nucleotide long non-coding RNA. RefSeq lists it as uncharacterized. The transcript has 4 exons. NCBI's taxonomy places the organism in Eukaryota, Viridiplantae, Streptophyta, Magnoliopsida, Poales, Poaceae. The record is from RefSeq and is a predicted model, not a curated record.
CCAUUCCAAUCCCUAAAAAAAACUUCCCACCUCCCUUCUCUCGCGCCUCUUCCUCUCCUACGCAGAUCACACCUUUGAUGGCGGCACUUCUUCCUCUCCAACGUGGAUGGUAACCACGACGGUGAUACAUCAGUUUCCCCACGCUCCUCGCGGCCCCUCCCUCGCGCAGGCUCCAGGGGCGCGCACAACGCCUGCGCCAGUGGCGGGAACGCCGGAUCCUGUUCCCGUGGAACCACAGCGGGCAGCGUAGUCCCGUCGCCACCGUCUAAGGAGCGCAACGGCGACGAACCAAUCCAGAUCCACAGGUGACCCUGAACUUGGAGAAUGAAACCUCGUACAAGAGCUGGUGAUGACCCCUAGGUUGGUAGUUCUGGCUCCAGGGGCGCGCACAACGCCUGCGCCAGUGGCGGGAACGCCAGAUCCUGUUCCCGUGGAACUACAACGGGCAGCGUAGUCCCGUCGCCACCGUCUAAGGAGCACAACGGCGACGAACCAAUCCAGAUCCACAGGUGACCCUGAACUUGGAGAAUGAAACCUCGUACACGAGCUGGUGAUGACCCCUAGGUUGGUAGUUCUGGUACGUGUGUUAACUCCAUAGAAAGAGGAAAAGCUGCAUUCAGCUGAUGGAUCAUGCGUGAAUUAUAAUCAUUUCCUAUAGGUAUAUAUUUUUGGCAUGAUGAUUUGAGUGUUAAUCUGUACCUUGUAAUAGGCUAAUAGGUUUAGUAAUUACUUCUGGCAGUAGAUUAGUCAUUCUGCUGACAUAGUCUAUAUGUGGGCAGAAACAUGUUUUGUGUUUGCCGGCAUUUUGGUAUUGCCCCCCAAAGGCCUGAACUCGAAUAAUGUGCCCUGUUAUCUCAGUAAUGAGAUCCGGGUUGAUUCCAAUUGAAAGCAAUGCACAGAGUAUAAUUAGAAACUUGGUAUGUCGUAUGCAUAUUUUAGAAACUAAUAUUUUCAUGGUUGGUGGUAGAUAUUGAUAUGUCGCGGAAAACAUUUUUUACACUUAGUAUAAUUAGAAAUAAGAUUCAGUGAACUCACAGGAUGACCCAUUUUGAAAUAUGUCUUUUUAAGUCAAACUAGAAAUAUAAACUAUUUCUGCCAAAUUUACGACUUCAGGUUGGAUAGUCUCUCUGUAAGAACUGAACGCUUAUGUGCUAUAGGUAUAUGAAUUUGUUUAGUACUGCCUUUUCCGUUUUGACAUGUCAAUGUUUCCUUUCUUCUGUUACAGAGAUUCAGAAUAAGAAGUUGCCCUAAUAGAUUUUUCUACCAUUGUAUCAUUGCAUCAUGAUGCUUUGAAAGAUGAUGCAACUACGAUCAAUAUUCAGAUGAUCUCUUUCAGCUUAACAUGUUCGAUAUAUUGAACAGUGCUAUUUUACUAUGAGCUGACUCUGAUCUUCUUAAACUAUCUUAUCAUACAUUGAUGUGCCUUUUAGUUUUGUAAUUUGCCGCUAAUAUUUCUACUUGUGUGGCUUUUUUUAGGUUUGAAGUUUAUUGGUCCUUUUUUUAGGCCGGCGUUUAUUUGUCCUGAAUGAAGGUCUAUUGGGAUCCUAAGCAUCAUAUUGUCUCAUUGUGACAACAACGAAUAUUCAGAAGUGUGGUAGGUUGUCCAUCUGAUCUCCAAUUUUGAAAGAAUAUAUGUAUUACUUCUUAGUCAAAGAAAAUGAGCAUACAUGUGUGUUUUCUGGACAUGAUUUUACAAUAAGAUGUUUUUUAACUGUAGUUGGACAAUAAGAUGAUGAUUGUAAGUCCCGUCUGUUAAUUCAUAAUGGGGUCUCUAAAUUUCUGUUUUUUCACUUGAUAGGUGAUGUACAAUGCUUUCUGGUAUGAGAUUGCUUGUCAACAAUUUCGUGCAUCGGUCUCAUCUCAAUGAUGUUCACAUUUUUUAUUAUUAUAUGCAGAUUUUGUCUUUAUUUUCUCCGUUCUUUCGUUGCUGAGCCAAAUAGUAUAAACAUAUUAUUGAACAUGCUUUGGCGGAGAUAUCAAACAAGACUAUUUAUUACAAAGUGGCAGAUGGACUCAUUGAUAUGGUGGCUCACAUGAGAACACUAUAUGCAAGAAGGAUCAAAUUAUGAGUAUAUAGUUUUCGCAUUAGCUUUUCUGUGAUUUCCUUUUGCUAACACCCCGCUAUUUAGGAUUUGAAGAGCAUGAUGAUUUGCAUGCAUCUUCCCUUUAGGUGUCACAAGGUAUUGAGGUUCGACAUGAAAGGUGCAUAGGAUAUUGUUAUAUCGUUGCCCACCGAUAUCUCAUAAGAUACAUUACUUAUUUUGUAUUUGCCUUGCAAUUUUGCAAUCUACCACAAUGAUAUGAUCUCCUCGCAUAAAAACAAACAAAAAUCAGGUUACAGCAGGAAUUAUUCUUACAACCAUUUUUCAGUUGUGCAUUUCCUUAUUUUGC